GACGAACGCUGGCGGCGUGCUUAACACAUGCAAGUCGAACGGCAAGGCCCUGCUUUCGUGGGGUGCUGGGGUGGCGAAGGGGGGAGGAACACGUGAGUAACCUGAUCUUGAUUUUCGGGUAGCUUCAGGAAACUGGGGCUAAUACCGUACAGGAUCUCACGCUGCAUGGUAGGGGUUGGAAAGUUUCGGCCGUUGGGGAUGGAAUAGCGGCUUAUCAGCUUGCUGGUGGGGUAGUGGCUUGCCCAGGCUUUGACGGGUAGCCGGCCUGAGAGGGUGACCGGCCACAUUGGGACUGAGAUACGGCCCAGACUCCUACGGAAGGCAGCAGUGGGGAAUAUUGCACAAUGGUCGGAAGCCUGAUGCAGCACCGCCGCGUGCGGUAUGACGGCCUUCGGGUUGUAACCCGCUUUCGCCUGUGACGAAGCGUGAGUGACGGUAAUGGGUAAAGAAGCACCGGCUAACUACGUG
Molecule: ribosomal RNA, 468 nt
Filed under: uncultured bacterium
Lineage: Bacteria
Description: partial 16S ribosomal RNA
Rfam family: Bacterial small subunit ribosomal RNA
Source: RNAcentral